Molecule: long non-coding RNA, 283 nt
Filed under: Lathyrus oleraceus (garden pea)
Lineage: Eukaryota; Viridiplantae; Streptophyta; Magnoliopsida; Fabales; Fabaceae
Description: Pisum sativum (pea) long non-coding RNA (PSAT_LNC027002)
Source: RNAcentral
UUAUAUUUUUUAUUAUUAAAAAAUUGGCAUUGUUGUAUGCAUAUGGGAAAGACAAAAAAAAAUUUAAACAAAAUGUUAUGAUAUGGUAAUCACGUCGCAACUUUAAAAGAAAAAAAAAAACAAGUCAGGCGAGUACAAGUUAGCACAUGAGAAAGACAAAAAAAAAAAUUUUAACAAAAUGUUGUGACGUGGUAAUCACAUCGCAACUUUAAGUAACAGAAGUCAGGCGUGCACAGAUGGGGGAGAUUUAAAAUUUUCAAAAUUUAAGUUGUGACGUGAAAAU